UUCCUGGUGUCCUAGUGGUUAAGGAUAGGCAUUGUCACUGCUGUGACUUGGGUUCAUUCCCUGGCCUGGGAA
RNAcentral lists this transfer RNA (72 nucleotides) under Sus scrofa (pig). It matches the Rfam family "tRNA". From Rfam's summary of the family: Transfer RNA (tRNA) molecules are approximately 80 nucleotides in length. Their secondary structure includes four short double-helical elements and three loops (D, anti-codon, and T loops). Lineage: Eukaryota; Metazoa; Chordata; Mammalia; Artiodactyla; Suidae. The record is from Rfam by way of RNAcentral.